RNAcentral lists this transfer RNA (92 nucleotides) under Heliorestis convoluta. RNAcentral describes it as "tRNA-Ser". It matches the Rfam family "tRNA". From Rfam's summary of the family: Transfer RNA (tRNA) molecules are approximately 80 nucleotides in length. The record is from RNAcentral. Lineage: Bacteria; Bacillati; Bacillota; Clostridia; Eubacteriales; Heliobacteriaceae.
GGAGAGAUGGCCGAGUUGGUCGAAGGCGCACGAUUGGAAAUCGUGUAGGCGGCAAAACCGUCUCGAGGGUUCGAAUCCCUCUUUCUCCGCCA